ACCUCAAUAUUAGACUCAAGAUUGCCAAUGCUGUAGAGUCAUCUUCUUUAGCUUUUCAAAAAUACCAUCCUAUCUCUAUUGUCUACCUUAUUGACUCUGGCAACUUUAUGCUUUCCUACAUAAUGAAUCCUCCUAGAGCUUAUACUAAAAUAGGGUAUGUCUUAAAAGUCAUCUAUAUAUAAUUACAAAAAUUAUCUUAUGAUUUUUUUUCUUAUAAUCACUUUCAUCUAUGAUCAUUAGAGAUGGAAAAGAAUCCAUGAG
This 261-nucleotide long non-coding RNA is filed under the name Elaeis guineensis (African oil palm). RNAcentral's name for it is "long non-coding RNA (EGUI_LNC034270)". Lineage: Eukaryota; Viridiplantae; Streptophyta; Magnoliopsida; Arecales; Arecaceae. The record is from RNAcentral.